CGGUAAGUUACAAAAUUGCGUUUUAAAUGAAAGCGAACAGCAAAUAUCCGGAUACGUGGAUACCGAUACAAAUUAUAAUUUUUUGGAUUGGUUGAAGAAUGAAGGAUAUUCCUUUUCUAUAAGAGACAGUACCGUGCAUGUCAUAGCAGGGAGGGAACAACCAGUAACAUGUAUCAAGUGGAACUUCAGCGAUUUGCCUUUAACUAGGCGGGCAGAGCAACCAUCGCCCACCAGUUCGAAAUAGAAUUUGUUAAAUUUAAUGUAUUAGUGUUUCAACAAUAAUAAAGUUUUCAUGUUAUUUUCAUAAA
Bacillus rossius redtenbacheri is the source of this 308-nucleotide long non-coding RNA. RefSeq lists it as uncharacterized. The transcript is spliced from 2 exons. The record is from RefSeq and is a predicted model, not a curated record. NCBI's taxonomy places the organism in Eukaryota, Metazoa, Arthropoda, Insecta, Phasmatodea, Bacillidae.